CCUACGGGUGGCUGCAGUGAGGAAUAUUGGUCAAUGGGCGCGAGCCUGAACCAGCCAAGUAGCGUGAAGGAUGACUGCCCUACGGGUUGUAAACUUCUUUUAUAAGGGAAUAACGUGAGCCACGUGUGCCUUUUUUUAUGUACUUUAUAAAUAAGGAUCGGCUAACUCCGUGCCAGCAGCCGCGUUAAUACGGAGGAUCCGAGCGUUAUCCGGAUUUAUUGGGUUUAAAGGGAGCGUAGAUGGGUGGUUAAGUCAGUUGUGAAAGUUUGAGGCUCAACCGUAAAAUUGCAAUUGAUACUGGCAGUCUUGAGUACAGUUGAGGUAGGCGGAAUGCGUGGUGUAGCGGUGAAAUGCUUAGAUAUCACGAAGAACUCCGAUUGCGAAGGCAGCCUACUAAACUGCCACUGACAUUGAUGCUCGAAAGUGUGGGUAUCAAACAGGAUUAGAUACCCGUGUAGUC
This 460-nucleotide ribosomal RNA is filed under the name uncultured bacterium. RNAcentral's name for it is "partial 16S ribosomal RNA". It matches the Rfam family "Bacterial small subunit ribosomal RNA", at positions 338 to 795 of the family's 1533-position model. The record is from RNAcentral.